This 400-nucleotide unclassified non-coding RNA is filed under the name soil metagenome. RNAcentral describes it as "partial contains 5.8S ribosomal RNA, internal transcribed spacer 2, and large subunit ribosomal RNA". The stretch from base 1 to 121 matches the Rfam family "5.8S ribosomal RNA", at positions 35 to 154 of the family's 154-position model. The record is from RNAcentral.
GAUGAAGAACGUAGCGAAAUGCGAUAAGUAAUGUGAAUUGCAGAAUUCAGUGAAUCAUCGAAUCUUUGAACGCACCUUGCGCCCUUUGGCUAUUCCGAAGGGCAUGCCUGUUUGAGUAUCGUGAACACCUCAACUCUCAUGGUCUGCCAUGAUGAGCUUGGACUUUGGGGGUCUUGCCGGCCUAGCGUCUGCUCCUCUCAAAUGGAUCAGCUUGCCAGUGUUUGGUGGCAUCACAGGUGUGAUAACUAUCUACGCUUGUGGUUUUCUACCAUGUAACCUUCAGCGAUGGAGGUUUGCUGGGGCUCACAGACGUCUCUCCUUGGAGGACAGCUUUUUGAACGUUUGAUCUCAAAUCAGGUAGGACUACCCGCUGAACUUAAGCAUAUCAAUAAGCGGAGGA